This 67-nucleotide transfer RNA is filed under the name uncultured Bilophila sp. It matches the Rfam family "tRNA", at positions 5 to 66 of the family's 71-position model. From Rfam's summary of the family: Transfer RNA (tRNA) molecules are approximately 80 nucleotides in length. Their secondary structure includes four short double-helical elements and three loops (D, anti-codon, and T loops). Further hydrogen bonds mediate the characteristic L-shaped molecular structure. tRNAs have two regions of fundamental functional importance: the anti-codon, which is responsible for specific mRNA codon recognition, and the 3' end, to which the tRNAs corresponding amino acid is attached (by aminoacyl-tRNA synthetases). tRNAs cope with the degeneracy of the genetic code in two manners: having more than one tRNA (with a specific anti-codon) for a particular amino acid; and 'wobble' base-pairing, i.e. permitting non-standard base-pairing at the 3rd anti-codon position. The record is from RNAcentral. Lineage: Bacteria; Pseudomonadati; Thermodesulfobacteriota; Desulfovibrionia; Desulfovibrionales; Desulfovibrionaceae.
CCGUAGCUCAGUUGGACAGAGCAGGAGCCUUCUAAGCUCUUGGCCGAGGGUUCGAUUCCUUCCGGGC